UACGGAGGGUGCAAGCGUUGUCCGGAUUUAUUGGGUUUAAAGGGUGCGUAGGCGGUCUUUUAAGUCAGUGGUGAAAGCCUCCAGCUUAACUGGAGAACUGCCAUUGAUACUGGAAGACUUGAGUACAGACGAGGUAGGCGGAAUUGACAGUGUAGCGGUGAAAUGCAUAGAUAUUGUCAAGAACACCGAUUGCGAAGGCAGCUUACUAGACUGUAACUGACGCUGAGGCACGAAAGUGUGGGGAUCAAACAGG
Molecule: ribosomal RNA, 253 nt
Filed under: uncultured bacterium
Lineage: Bacteria
Description: partial 16S ribosomal RNA
Rfam family: Bacterial small subunit ribosomal RNA
Source: RNAcentral